UUCGUCAUCACCAACCCCCCUUCAUCGCCAAUUCCAUGAUCCUCCCCACUGGGAGUGAGUAAUUCCUUUGUAGGCUCGCUGGUCGGUUAGGAGUUGGAUGGGAUUCAUCAUGUAGUCGAGUUAGUUUUCUUAGGGCUUGAUCCGUAGUAUCCAUCAUGUUAUGAGAUUGAUGUUUCUAUGACUUUGCUAUGCUUAAUGGUUGUCACUUUUGGCUCAGGCGCCAUGAUUUCAGAUCUGAGCCGUUUAUGUUAUCACCAUUAUACCUAUGUUCUAGAUCUAAUCUUGCAAGUUAUAAUCACCUAUUAUGUAU
This 310-nucleotide long non-coding RNA is filed under the name Hordeum vulgare. RNAcentral's name for it is "long non-coding RNA (HVUL_LNC012012)". The record is from RNAcentral. Lineage: Eukaryota; Viridiplantae; Streptophyta; Magnoliopsida; Poales; Poaceae.